RNAcentral lists this ribosomal RNA (328 nucleotides) under uncultured bacterium. RNAcentral describes it as "bacterial SSU rRNA". It matches the Rfam family "Bacterial small subunit ribosomal RNA", at positions 505 to 832 of the family's 1533-position model. The record is from RNAcentral.
GUGCCAGCAGCCGCGGUAAUACGUAGGUGGCAAGCGUUGUCCGGAAUUAUUGGGCGUAAAGCGCGCGCAGGCGGUUUCUUAAGUCUGAUGUGAAAGCCCACGGCUUAACCGUGGAGGGUCAUUGGAAACUGGGUGACUUGAGUGCAGAAGAGGAAAGCAGAAUUCCAAGUGUAGCGGUGAAAUGCGUGGUGAUUUGGAGGAAAACCAGUGGCGAAGGCGACUUUCUGGUCUGCAACUGACGCUGAGGCGCGAAAGCAUGGGGAGCAAAAAGGAUUAGAUACCCUGGUAGUCCAUGCCGUAAACGAUGAGUGCUAAGUGUUAGGGGGUU